GGAGGCGUAGUCCAGUGGUAGGAUUUUUGACUCCAAAUCAGAAGGCAUGGGUUCGAUUCCUGUCGCCUCUG
This is a non-coding RNA of Glomus cerebriforme, 71 nucleotides long. The record is from the annotation of a GenBank genome assembly. Lineage: Eukaryota; Fungi; Glomeromycota; Glomeromycetes; Glomerales; Glomeraceae.